GGCAAGAUUUCAUCCUUUUUGCUUGCCGAGUAAUACUCCAUUGUAUAUAUAAACCACAUCUUCUUUAUCCAUUCAUCCAUCGAUGGACAUUUGGGCUCCUUCCAUACUUUGGCUAUUGUGGAUAGUGCUGCUAUAAACCUGGGGGUGCCUGUGUCCCUUCGAAACAGCACACCUGUAUCCCAUGGAUAAAUGCCUAGUAGUGCCAUUGCUGGGUCAUAGGGUAGUUCUAUUUUUAGUUUCUUGAGGAACCUCCAUACUGUUUUCCAUGGUGGCUGCACCAGCUUGCAUUCCCAUGGUCUCUAUCUCUGUUGACUCAAACCUUUCCAGAAGAAUAUUGGACUAGCUUUCAAAGUUCCCAGUUGUCUCAUGAUUAUAGAGCCUGCAUUCCUGACAACCCUGGAGUCAGUUCAGAAUUAAACCCGCUGCUGUAUCUCUCUUCCGACACAGGAUGUGGAAAGCUCUCUGGCUGCAGGCAGGACCUUGCACUUACCCAUGUGUUUGGGCCCUGAGUAUAUACCGAAUUUCCAGCUAGCGAUGAGGCGCCCCUCUGUGGACGUGUUCAAAGACAGCCUUUAAAAAAAUCAUCAUCAUCAUCAUCAUCAUCAUCAUCAGAUUUAGAAUCUGAAUGAAGGGAUUAAUGGCGUCCGGAGGCAAGGUGAUUUCUGAGACUUCGAGACUUCGGUCUUCGGUUGGAGUACCGCCAGCAGCUGAGCCAUCCCGACACCCCACUGCUCUCAGGAACGAGAAGCCACUAUUUGCCUUCUCGUCGCCCCGCCAGGAAGAAGCCUACCAGGUAUCCUAGAACCCGUCCCAGACAGCCGAUGGAAGCUUUGGCUCCCCCUCUCUCCAAGCUUUUGGAAAGUAAUCGUAGCCCUGCAGAAAAUGAGUGGCUCCUUUUUGAGAUGGAUUGAGAAGAAGCCUUGCUGAGGUUUAAUCGCAUAAACGGAGGCACGGCCUUCCCGCGCUCUCUCAACCGAUGGAAACAAAGAUGCUAAGUGUGAGGCUCUGUGUUCACUCACGCUUGAUUUUGUGUAAACCCUGCAUAUCACAUGGGGUACCUACGCAUGGACAGUGAAUGAGGAAGAAGAUGCCUCCGACUUGGGGCAGCUCAGUAGAUCACCAGGCAGAGACCAGCAAUUGUCAGGUCUCCGCACGGGGCGUCUAGAAGACAGGCAAAUUCACGCAGCCCGGCCAAAGGGUGCGGAUUUACGCGCUGGCCUUUUCAACUGGUCUUCAAAACUGAUUAAACGUUUGAAAGUGACACUCCUCCACGUUUCGUUUGUUCCUGAUGAUUCUCACUCCUUGAACUGUCCAAGCAGCUCAACAGAGAAGGGUAGAGAAGCUGAAGAAAACUACCAUUGUCAGUAGAUGCACGCUGUUCCCCUGCACAGGCGAAAAGGGAGAGAAGGGCAGAGCCACGUGGGUUAAAUUGGCUGUCUUAUGCUGGGUCUCACCAGGCUUGAUGUUUUCGGUUUACAUCUGCAAUACCCGGAAUACAGCAGAUCACCCCCUUAUCCACCGAGGAUACGUUUUAGGACCCUGAGUGGGUGCCUGAAAUGGUGGCGAGCAAAAUCACAGAGAGAAGACAGACUUCUUCAUUAUGUGCAGAAUAACACUUUAAUGGACUUUUUCUUUAUGAAACUCAUAAAUCCCAGAUCAUCUUCUGGAAUAAAGAAUCUGAAUGUUUCCCAUAAUUAAAAUGUCUUCACUGAGGGCAGAAUUGCAAAUCUCAGAUGAUUUCCUUCUAGAAACAACUUUUUUCCGCCCUUCUGUGGAAGCCUCAGAAAAGAUCCAUCUGGACUCCAAGUUGGGAAGACACGGCCCUUUGGAAGCUGGGUUGGCCUUUUCACAUCACCAUGGGAUAGGGCCUACGGAGAACGGCGUCCAAUGGAAACCCAAGGAAGCCUUGGUGCAUUGGCUCCAAGAGCAGCCGAAGCUUCUGUUAUCCCCACGCUUUCACCAAAACCUUGUUAAUUAUUAUAAUCUGUAUUUAGCAUUAAGGGAUGGUCCAGGGUUCAAGCUUGAGCAGAGCAGUUCUGGAAACAACAGAAACCCCGGAAAAGCUAGAGUCCGGUCCAUGCGGGUGACUGGACGUGGGCCGGAGGAGCAGACAAGAACCAGACGGUGUCAUCUGGGGCGUCAUAGAAUACAGGCCUUGGACCACUGUCUUCAAGGUGUUAUUGAGCAUGUGACUCAUGUAAGCUAGAGGGGUCUGGGGCACUUGGGUGUCAGGCAAAUUUACCUAGCAAUUCCUUAUGCUUUUAUAUGCAUGGCAUCCCACCCUGGAGUCACUGGCUCAAAUUCUUGGCUAAAGGACACACAGAACAUUCUUCUUAUUGCUCUGAUUUCCCUCUCCCCAGCCAGGUUGAACCUCCCUGCAGGCACCUGUCGCCUAACACGGUUUCCAUAAAUACCUCUUGAAGAGCAGCCCAGGGCCUCGAGUCCUGUAACCCCUUUUCCACAAAGCCUUUUGGAGGCACAACAGAACUGUGGCUUAGAAACUUAGGAUCAUAAAGCCAGAGAAUUCAACCCGUCAGGAAUAGCUUGCUUGUCGCCAGGUCUAACCCCCUGAGGAUCCACUUGUUCCUUGUUUUUCUUUUCUCUUUUUCUAU
This is a long non-coding RNA of Neofelis nebulosa (Clouded leopard), 2612 nucleotides long. RefSeq lists it as uncharacterized. The transcript is spliced from 4 exons. The record is from RefSeq and is a predicted model, not a curated record. NCBI's taxonomy places the organism in Eukaryota, Metazoa, Chordata, Mammalia, Carnivora, Felidae.